ACUCCACGCUUCCCUAUACCCCUGUGUGGCAUCAGCUUUUUCUGCACUCAAAAUAGGGCUGCUAACAAUUCCUGGGGUGGAACGCUCCUAAUGUACGUAGAGAGAGUGCGGAUCUCUUUACGAGGCUCUCUCCAGCAGGACAAGGCAGGCUUUUUGCUCAGAGUUUCAGCAAAUUUGCCUCACCUGUUGCUGGUCCGGUUGAUUAUCAGGGGAGAGAAUAUGGUGUUUACCCCGCCAGCAUCAUUCUCCCUGCCCUUAGAACAGGAGCUCGGGGCGAGCUUCUGCCGGAGCCCCUGGGUUUCGGGCCCAAGCGUCCGUCUUCCACUGAAGGGCAAGGACUGCACCUACAGUGUGCCAGGAGGUGCUCAGCGUUUGAGGGAAUCAAAACGUGGUGCCGCCUACAAGUUGAACAGAAGGGAAGACAGUGAAUUUGGGAAGAAGGAGGCAUAGUAUGGGGUCAGGUGUCUGCCAUAGUAGCUUAAGGACAUUCCCGCGGCUGUAAAGGAAAUCCAGUUGGAGUGGUGCACGUGGAGCGAGGGAACACGCACAGGGGCACAAGGGUGGCACGUUGAAAGAAAAGUAGCUUCGCAAGGACAAACCUGUUGGGUUCAUCGGAAGCCAGGGCAAGCUGCAGAUACAAAGUCAUGUUCCCCGUGAAGAUGCAUCUAUCCCAGAGUUGAAAAGCAUCUGGAAUCAGAAUCCUCCGAAGAGCUGGUUUUGAAGAAUAAUACUGUCUCCUUUUCCUGACUAUUUGGAUGGCAGCUGUGCCUGCCUUGGAGUUGGCUUGCCUGCAGCUCAGCCCAAGGUCUCUUGUCCUCACUGGUCAGUCAGCUUUCAGAUUGGCACUGAUCUCAGGUGUUCUCUUCUCUGUGCCACAUGGGGGUAAAUAUCCCUUUCACGGAGCCCAGUGAGGAUCACAGGCAAGUGUCCAACCAGUGGUUCUCAGAAAACACGACUGCCAUCAUGAGGAGACAUGGUGGAAAGCAAAGCCUUACGAUGGGUAACACACGUGUGGAACGCAAGCAUGUUGAACCAGGCUGAGGACAUGCUCUUCCCUAAGAAGACUUCUCUGAAUUCCUCCCUCUCAUUCAUACAUCCUUCUCCCGCUACAACAUUUAUAGAACUCAGACAGUCGUCAUUCAGUGCCUGACACGUGCAAGGUUCUUUUUGGAAUGCAGGGGACAGAGACAUUCUACACUGAUGGAGCCCAGAGUCAUGGAAUCUUCCGGUCUACAAAGCUUAUUAACUGCUGAUCGAUCACUAUAGCAACUGAAAUGAAAUAGGAAGCAAGAAGGCAGGGCAAUAUAACCAACUCAAAUAAGAGUUAAAAAUAAGCAAUUCUGAGCACUAGCCUUCAGGUGUUCCAAACCGUCGCACUGGGCUGGGGACAGAGAUGGACAAGGCCGGGCUGGGCUUCAUGCAGUUGUCAAAGCUGGAGACUGUAGAAUCCUAGAACUGAAAGGUAGUUUGUGUCCCAUCUCAUGUCCACUUUUAGCCUUUAAGAAAGUGAAAGAGUACACGCUUUAGAAAUGAGGAAUGCAUGGUGUCUUACUAAUGAUGUCUGGGGACACAGUAUCUGCUGUGCCUCUCUUGGUCAGGUCCAUGCGUCUCUCUUUCUGUGAAGUCUCUUGCCUCACUUAAGUCCAUAUUCUCCUACUGUGUCCACCCAUCAGACAGACCACUUGCCUGACGCACUGUUUCCCAAGCUGACUGUGACACUGCCAGGAGGAGCCAGAGCCUGCUGCAAUGGUACAAAUGGCCGUGACUUACUCAUGCCCCGACUCAGCUCUUCCGUUAGCACUGGUCUCUGAAGGCUGCCAGUAGAAAGCCCCUGUAGUAACACAGCCAAGCCAACUGCUCCCGUGCAUCUGAGCCCUUGAUGAAGGCCCCUCCUCUUCCCUAGAGGGAGGGAAGAAUUGUUGGUUUUCUCUUUCAAUUAUUUUUCCAGUCUAUUAAAUUGUCACAAUCCCUGUGUCUCAGUGAGAGGCGAUGUCAUUUUUGCUCAUCUCCUGGAGACCAGGAACAGUGAUGCCAGAGGACAUAAUUUUUGUGUCUCUGUCACCACCGUUGGAGAAAAGAAGAUGACAACAGAAAAGCGCAAAGGCAGUAGAUAUCUUGGAGAGGGUUAUGAGACACGCAACGAGCAUAACUAUGAUGUUUAUGCCAUUGGGUUAUAUGAAAUAUACAUUUGUAAUCCACUAAGCAGUUUAUCUUUUCAUGCAUCUUAGUUUUCCAGGAUAAUUACCUUCAUGACUGUCCCAUCCCAUGUUCCAGGCAAAGUGUGUGCAAAAUACACAGAUCUGUGUGCCCUGUUUGAAAACACGGCAGAGGAUGGGGGAUUAACUCAAAUUUUAGAAAAACAUGCUGUAGACAAUGAAUUCAGGAUAUGGGCUGAAAGUUUCUUUUAUGUUGUUAGCAAAACUGUUAAACUGUUUUGUCUUUGAACAACAGCAGCAGCUAAUUGAGCCUUCAUCCUGUGUUAGGUACUAUAGCAAGUUCUUUUCAAGGACCCCGGAAGUUUAGAGAGGUUGAAUAACUCACCCACAGAUGUGCAGCAGGCUGAGAGUCAACCUUGAGUCUUAGCUCAGAUCUCCUUUCUUGAUAGGAAACUUCUGCAGUUUUAUCCAAGACCUGCCCCUUCUCCAGUACCUGAGACCCUUCCCUCUUGCCUAAGAAGCAUGCAAGUCCAGUAGUUCUUCCCAUCUGUCCUGAAACAUUCAUUUCCUUUUGUCUGUUAGGUAUUUUCCCUUAGCAGGGACAAUGCUGCUGUUUCACUCAUCUUGAAGAACCUCUCACUGUCUCCAGUCCUUCUCCCUGCUGCCCUCUGAUUCUCUGCAGGACCCACCCUGAUUAGGUUCUCACCCACCAUCUUGAAUGUUAUUCUUCUCACAAUCACUUUCUGCAGUGCAGCAUAGCAGAUGAUAUAGAUACUCCCUUUCUCUUGAAAUAUUGCCUACCCUUGGCUGAUAUAAAUAACCCUUCUUCAUUGUCCACUUUGUCACAUUAUCCCUGUAUGGUUUAUUGUCUUCUUGACAUCUUCUUUCUGAUGAAGCAAUACACAGUUUACUUCUCUAUUUCUCUUUUCUAUCUGCACUCAUUUUUUAUGACAUUAACGUAUUUCUUUGGACUGCCAAUAGUUUUAUCAGACACAUACAUCAAACGGAUCUAGUAUACCCUUCCCUUCUCGGCCAUAUCUGACCCGUCUAUAAUUGUCCACAUCUCAGUUGAUGGCAACUCUGUCCUUUCACUUGGUUAAGACAAAUCCAUAAAGUCAUUUUUGGUUCUCCUGUUUCUCCCAUAUUUGACAUCUAAUCUUCCAAAAAAUCAUAUCGGCUCCAUUUUCAGCAUAUAGCUAGACACUUGCUACUAUGCACCACCUCUCCUGAUCCCGGCCUAAUCCCUGUCAGCAUCAUAUCUUGCCCGGGUUGUUACAGUUGCCUCCUACAGGCCAGUCUGCUUCUAUGCUCGUUUUUUACAUCCUAGGUUCAAAAUAUCAGUGAUACUUUAAAUUUGCCAAUCAAAUGAUGUCAACAGCUCUGUUUAAAACACUGUAGCGACUGUCCAUCUAACUCAGAAACACAAACUCCUUAUGAAGAUGGAUAAAGCCCUCCAUGAUGUGUACCAUUUUCCUCCACAACUCUGAACUUACCUCUCACCCACUCUGUUUGGGACACAGCAGCCCUCUCGCUAGGCCUUUUGGCUGUUCUCUCUGCUUGGAAUCCUCAUUGUCCACAUACACAUAUUGUUUACUCCCAUUUCCUCCAGAUUUCUCCACAUAUGUCUCUUUGCCUAACUACUUCAUUUACAAUUCAACCAUCCCUCACAUAUUCAUGCGCUACUCAGUCUCCUUCUGUACACUGUUUGCUCCACAUCGUAUAUUGUCCUUUAACAUACUCUAAAAUUUUAUUGUGUAUUUUGUUUAAAAUCUGCUCCCUCCACUAGGAUACAUAUUCCUUGGAAAGAGGACUGUUUUCUUUACUGAUGCAUCAUGGGACUUAUGUAGUGCUGAGUACUUUGGCUAAAGAGACUGGUUCUCAAAUGAAUGAAUAAACCAAUGAAUGAGUGAAUCUUAAUAGUCAUUGCCCAAAGAGUUGUGGAGAUGACAUCAUAAUCACAAGUUCAAUAUUCAAGUAGGUUGAUGUUCUGCCCUGGAUUGGUAUUAGGGACUGCAGUUGUAACUCCAUCAGUUAGGAUGUUUACAUUUACUUGUGAGAUGCAGUAGUGUGCAUAGAUUAUGUGCACAUUCCUGAAGGCAGAAGACUUGGAUAUGGCUUCCAUCUCUGGAAUUUACUAGCACUUUGAAUAAUAAUCUAAACCUUUUUGUACCUCAUUUUUUUCCCCUCACCUGCAAAAUGGUAGUAAUAGUAUUACUUAACUAAGAGUGUUGUGUUAAGGAUUUAGUAAAUUAACACAUAUAAAGUACAGGACUUAGUGCCUGUCAUGGGGUUUAGGAUAGCAUUGUAUAAAUGGCAUUAAUAAAAAUGAUAAUGAUGAAGAAGGUAAUGAUAGCAUUUAUAUUUAACAGGAGAGCUUAGACAUUGUAGAAGACUGUGAAUCCAUUCCAUUUUUAAAUAAAGCAGACUAAAUGUCUAGUAUGCUGUAGAAAUACAUCUUGGUGACAUUACAUGAAAGGAGAUAGCAUCUAUAUCACAAAACAUAGUAUUUUAUAUCAGGAACAAAUAUUUGUUAAGCACUUGUCAAGUGUUAGGCACUGUUUUAAGAGCUUUACAUAUAUUUAAAGAUCUGGCAAUUGAGGACAGAGAAAUUAAUUAAUUUGACCAACAUCAUAAAGCUAUUAAAUGAAGCCAUAAUACAAACUGGAUGAACUUACAUAGCUACUGUAAUAGAAGAAAAGGGUUUUUCUUAGUGACUCCUACAGUAAAAAGGAAUAUAUUUAAUUCAUUGCCUAAAGGAUUUACCUUUCUAAAAACACUCAGAUCUGGUCUUAACCGGACCUCCUUACCUGUAGGCAGUUGGAUGUGCGCUCCCAGUUUUCCAGUUGUCAGAGUGAGGCUACCUCAAUGAUGCUGUCAGUGUUAAGAUGGUCUUAACAACCUCGCUCUUGGUAAAGUACUGUCAUUUGAAACUUAUUUAAGUAUUAGAGCGGAUACAAGAUUAACACUGAAAUUAUGCCACACAUCCCAUAGUAAUAUGCUUUUUAAGCAGGGAUACAAAAAAGUUGAAGUGACAUCUAGGAAUUUAAGAAUCACAUCUAAUAAACUGCAUUUCAAAUACAAAGAUCCUUAACAGAAUAAUUACUGGUGUAUGACUAAGCACUGGAACACUUACAGGACAUGAUCAUAGUUGCAGCAGUUUUUGAGGUUUCCUCACAGUCUGGUGUACAGAGGGGGAUCUAUUCCUCCUUGGAACAGCAUGUGCUGUGUAUAUUAUAACAAGAGAAGGGAUUGGGACCUCUUGGAGCAAAUGGUGAGGCGUAAAUGAGUAAGAAAUUGCUUAGAAAGCUACCCUCUGAUCUGCAGAAGUUUGAUAUUUAAUUGAAGAGAUUAGGUCUUAUAUGCAGAUAAUGAACAUAAAAAUAUUUACUCUCCGGCCAUUUCAGAGAAAAAGUUGCCAGGUGGUGGUUAAUAAAGUUUAUAAGCUUUGUACUAAACCAGUGACCAGAAUAGAACCUGACAGGCAAAGGGAGGCUGGGUGCCUCUAUCAUCUUAGGUCAGAGCUGCUCAUUUGUAACAGAGCUACCUCCCCUGGAUCGCAGCCUUCAGUAAGAGUCAAGCCCAAGCUCUAGAGCCCUUCAUGGUUCUGGGAAAGCACCAUCACUCCCAGCCCUAGGAAAUACAUACAGGACUGGCAGGAACCCCACUGGGAUUCCUUGGGAAGCUGUCAUCUUCCAGACACUAACACCUAGCAAAACUCAGUGUUUCACUGUUGCCGACUCCACCUGCUCUGCAGCAUCCUGCAUCUAUCUCACUGUGCACAAAUGUUCUACACCUUCAGCGUCUUCAGGAAGUGCUCAUCACCUUCCUCUGGUAACAGAAUCUGGGAUGUCCCCUGAGGAUAUUGCUCUUCCUCCUCCCCCACACGCACCUAUCUGGCUUGAGGUGGACACGCUGAAGUCAUCAACGAAAAGGACAGCAAAAAGACGGCUGAAAGUCCUCUCCUCCAUGAAAAGAACAAGAAUAUUGGGAUAAAUGGUCAGAAUCAACAUUUUCAGAACUGUGGAAAUUAGCUGAAGGCUUACAGAAAUCCUAGGAAUGAUUAUUUACAAAGGCAGCUGAAUCUCGAUAUGAAUACUAAGCAGUAUGGCAUUUCACCUUGUUGAUUCACACACCCUCCUCUCUCUAGCAACACAAUAACUGGAAAACAACCAUCUGCAAUCAUGGCAAAAAACACUAGGCUGGGGAGCAGAAUGGGACUGGAGUCCUUCACAGUUUCAUUGUUGGGAGUUAUUAUUGACCGGUGUGGUGGUUCCUGUCUAUAUUUUCUGUCUGAGGCAGUGCAUAUUGAGACAAAUAAAAAAUAGAAAUUCUGGAAUUAAAAAUUAUAAUAUCUGAAAUUUUAAAAAAGAAAUCUUGGAAAUGAGAUUUUAUAAGGGGGAUAAGGGGGGUUCGAAAAGCACUGACAUAUUAUUGGCCUCCAGAAGGUAACCCAGCUGCACAUAGGGCCACUUGCAGGCUCAGGUACAGGAAACCCCUCCCUGUUUCCGGCUCUCUGGGAGCAGAGGUGGUGUCAGUUGGGAGCUGCCAAUUACAGUGUGUCCAAUACACACGUGAAGCUCCUUGGCAAUGCCCAGAAGGCUUGGUGGCUCUAGGUAUUUAAGGAUAUCUUCAUUCCUCUGUUAGAGAUUUCAGUGGUUCCACAACAGAGAAAUAGCUCAUAAAAGUCACUUAAACCCAGAGAAAGGAGAAAGAAUCUCAUUUCCAGAGGUGACAUAUGAUUUUAAAUAUCCAGUUCUGAACAAAAAAUGUUUGAGCCAUGGAAAAGGCAUUCAACAAAAUCAUCCCUGAGGAACCCCAAAUAUUGAUCGAUCACUAGACAAAGACUUUAAAGCUGCUACUUACAUUUAAAAAUUAAUGAACAUAAAGGAAAAUAGUAGAACAGUAUCUUAGUACCUACAUACAUACACACACACACACAAAUAGAAAUUCUGGAAGUAAAAACUAACUGAAAUUUUAAAAAUCACUACAGGGACUUUAGAUAUGAGCAGGCAAAGACAGACUAAGUGAAUAUGAAGAUAAAUCGAUCAAGUCAUCCCUUCCGACAGCUGCAUGUACCUGGUAGUCCUAGCUACCUGGGUAUGUGGGGCAGGGGGCUCACUGGAGCCCAGAAUUCUGGAAGCAGCCUGAGCAACAUCAUAAGGCCCGAUCUCAAAACAAAAGGUUAACUUAUCUAAGAAACAGAGAGGGAAUGGAGAGAAAAAUGAUGUUAGAGAUCUGCCAAGCAUACUAAAAUACAUGUAAUGGAAAUCCCACCCGUGUACACACAUCAGAGAGACUGAGACAGGCAGAGGGAAGGGGUACAGGGGAGUGGAAAAGAGAAGGGAAAGGAUAGGAAAGAGAAUAUUUCAAGAAUAAUGGCUGACACAUUCAACGAGCACCAAGUAGCACCGACUCAUAGGUAGAUGCUCUGACAUACAAUGAAUGAGUGGUUGAAAGUCAAAGGGAUCCAAAGAGAAAAAACUGACCCUGUACAAGUGGUGGGGGUUCAAGAAGAGUAACAGGUGAUUUGUCAUCAGCAAACACAGAGGAAGACAGAGGAUGACAUUCCAAGUGCUGCAAGAAAAGGACUGUCAAAUAGUAACUCUGUAUUUAGCUAAAUUACCCUUCAAAAAUGAGCGUAAAUAUUCCCAGUGAACAAAAACCAAGAGAAGUUAUCACUAAGCAGAUCUAUAUUUUAAGAAAUACCAAAGAUUUCCUUUAAGCUGAAGGAAAAGGACUCUAGAAAAUAACUCUAAACCGCAUAUAGAUAAAGAGAACUGUUAAGAGUAACUACGUAGGUAAAUAUAAAAGACAGUCUCUAUAUUAUGUCUUUUACCUAUCGGAUUGAGAAGAAAAAUGCAUAAAACAGCAGGUAUAAGUCUGUGUUGAUUCCCACAUGAUAGGUAGUCACUGUAUGACAAUCAAAAACCCAGAGGAGGAGGAGUGAAAUGGACUACA
This is a non-coding RNA of Heterocephalus glaber (naked mole-rat), 8114 nucleotides long. Lineage: Eukaryota; Metazoa; Chordata; Mammalia; Rodentia; Bathyergidae. The record is from RefSeq and is a predicted model, not a curated record.